This 124-nucleotide ribosomal RNA is filed under the name Atlanticothrix silvestris CENA357. RNAcentral's name for it is "Bacterial small subunit ribosomal RNA". It matches the Rfam family "Bacterial small subunit ribosomal RNA", at positions 1 to 136 of the family's 1533-position model. The record is from Rfam by way of RNAcentral. Lineage: Bacteria; Bacillati; Cyanobacteriota; Cyanophyceae; Nostocales; Nodulariaceae.
AAAACGGAGAGUUUGAUCCUGGCUCAGGAUGAACGCUGGCGGUAUGCUUAACACAUGCAAGUCGAACGGGCUCUUCGGAGCUAGUGGCGGACGGGUGAGUAACGCGUGAGAAUCUGGCUUCAGG